AGUGAACGCUGGCGGCAGGCCUAAUACAUGCAAGUCGAACGGCAGGACAGUAAGAGCUUGCUCUUACGGGUGGCGAGUGGCGGACGGGUGAGGAAUACAUCGGAAUCUACUUUUUCGUGGGGGAUAACGUAGGGAAACUUACGCUAAUACCGCAUACGACCUACGGGUGAAAGCAGUGGAUCUUCGGACCUUGCCCGAUUGAAUGAGCCGAGUUCGGAUUAGCUAGUUGGGGGGGUAAAGGCCCACCAAGGCGACGAUACGUAGCUGGCCUGAGAGGAUGAUCAGCCACACUGGAACUGAGACACGGUCCAGACUCCUACGGGAGGCAGCAGUGGGGAAUAUUGGGCAAUGGGCGAAAGCCUGAUGCAGCCAUACCGCGUGGGUGAAGAAGGCCUUCGGGUUGUAAAGCUCUUUUGUUGGGAAAGAAAAACAGCAGGUUAAUCCACCGCUGUUCUGACGGUACCCAAAGAAUAAGCCCCGGCUAACUACGUG
This 492-nucleotide ribosomal RNA is filed under the name uncultured bacterium. RNAcentral's name for it is "partial 16S ribosomal RNA". It matches the Rfam family "Bacterial small subunit ribosomal RNA", at positions 29 to 507 of the family's 1533-position model. The record is from RNAcentral.